Molecule: ribosomal RNA, 467 nt
Filed under: uncultured bacterium
Lineage: Bacteria
Description: partial 16S ribosomal RNA
Rfam family: Bacterial small subunit ribosomal RNA
Source: RNAcentral
GACGAACGCUGGCGGCGUGCUUAACACAUGCAAGUCGAACGGAAAGGCCCUGCUUUUGUGGGGUGCUCGAGUGGCGAACGGGUGAGUAACACGUGAGUAACCUGCCCUUGACUUUGGGAUAACUUCAGGAAACUGGGGCUAAUACCGGAUAGGAGCUCCUGCUGCAUGGUGGGGUUGGAAAGUUUCGGCGGUUGGGGAUGGACUCGCGGCUUAUCAGCUUGUUGGUGGGGUAGUGGCUUACCAAGGCUUUGACGGGUAGCCGGCCUGAGAGGGUGACCGGCCACAUUGGGACUGAGAUACGGCCCAGACUCCUACGGGAGGCAGCAGUGGGGAAUAUUGCACAAUGGGCGGAAACCUGAUGCAGCAACGCCGCGUGCGGGAUGACGGCCUUCGGGUUGUAAACCGCUUUCGCCUGUGACGAAGCGUGAGUGACGGUAAUGGGUAAAGAAGCACCGGCUAACUACGUG